GAGUGCGUGAGAGAGAGCUUAAGAUUAUGAGAGAUUUUUCUUAAGAGAUUAUUAAGAGAGUUAUUCUUAUUAUUGAGUCUUUAUUCUUGUGUUUGUGAGACCUUGAUUACGAGAGACUUGAUUUCUAUAAAGCACGCUUCCACCGUGAGUGCUCCUACAAGCAUGGGCUCGUUAUCAAAACAUCACUCUCGUGUUUUCAGGUCCUGUCUUCUAGCAAACCAGACCUUUGUUCAUGCUUCAACUUUGAGACAAAAUGAGCAGUUUCUUAAUCUUGGCCGUGCAUUAAUGAGGGUGCAAAGACCACCUUUCACAAUUACCCAUACCUCCUCGGUUCGUUGGUGGAGCCAUGAAUCUAACGGUUUUGUUUCGAGAUGCUUGUCGCGGAUUUUGAAAGGCCCAUGUUGUUUUUAAGGCCUAGGAUUUUUGGUCUUGGAGAGCGGGC
This 442-nucleotide long non-coding RNA is filed under the name Brassica napus (rape). Its description in RNAcentral is "long non-coding RNA (BNAP_LNC017441)". The record is from RNAcentral. Lineage: Eukaryota; Viridiplantae; Streptophyta; Magnoliopsida; Brassicales; Brassicaceae.